AGUGGCGAACGGGUGAGUAACACGUGAGUAACCUGCCCCUGACUCUGGGAUAAGCGUUGGAAACGACGUCUAAUACUGGAUAUGACUGCCGGCCGCAUGGUCUGGUGGUGGAAAGAUUUUUUGGUUGGGGAUGGACUCGCGGCCUAUCAGCUUGUUGGUGAGGUAAUGGCUCACCAAGGCGACGACGGGUAGCCGGCCUGAGAGGGUGACCGGCCACACUGGGACUGAGACACGGCCCAGACUCCUACGGGAGGCAGCAGUGGGGAAUAUUGCACAAUGGGCGAAAGCCUGAUGCAGCAACGCCGCGUGAGGGAUGACGGCCUUCGGGUUGUAAACCUCUUUUAGUAGGGAAGAAGCGAAAGUGACGGUACCUGCAGAAAAAGCACCGGCUAACUACGUGCCAGCAGCCGCGGUAAUACGUAGGGUGCAAGCGUUGUCCGGAAUUAUUGGGCGUAAAGAGCUCGUAGGCGGUUUGUCGCGUCUGCUGUGAAAUCCCGAGGCUCAACCUCGGGCUUGCAGUGGGUACGGGCAGACUAGAGUGCGGUAGGGGAGAUUGGAAUUCCUGGUGUAGCGGUGGAAUGCGCAGAUAUCAGGAGGAACACCGAUGGCGAAGGCAGAUCUCUGGGCCGUAACUGACGCU
Molecule: ribosomal RNA, 640 nt
Filed under: Curtobacterium sp. I13A-01630
Lineage: Bacteria; Bacillati; Actinomycetota; Actinomycetes; Micrococcales; Microbacteriaceae
Description: bacterial SSU rRNA
Rfam family: Bacterial small subunit ribosomal RNA
Source: RNAcentral